AGCGAACGCUGGCGGCAGGCCUAACACAUGCAAGUCGAACGAACCUUUCGGGGUUAGUGGCGGACGGGUGAGUAACACGUGGGAACGUGCCUUUAGGUUCGGAAUAACUCAGGGAAACUUGUGCUAAUACCGAAUGUGCCCUUCGGGGGAAAGAUUUAUCGCCUUUAGAGCGGCCCGCGUCUGAUUAGCUAGUUGGUUGAGGUAAUGGCUCACCAAGGCGACGAUCAGUAGCUGGUCUGAGAGGAUGAUCAGCCACAUUGGGACUGAGACACGGCCCAAACUCCCACGGGAGGCCGCAGUGGGGAAUCCUGCGGCAUGGGCCAAAGGCUGACCGCGCCAUGCCGCGUGAAUGAUGAAGGUCUUAAGAUUGUAAAAUUCUUUCACCGGGGACGAUAAUGACGGUACCCGGAGAAGAAGCCCCGGCUAACUUCGUG
This 434-nucleotide ribosomal RNA is filed under the name uncultured bacterium. Its description in RNAcentral is "partial 16S ribosomal RNA". It matches the Rfam family "Bacterial small subunit ribosomal RNA", at positions 29 to 507 of the family's 1533-position model. The record is from RNAcentral.